GGUAAGGUGACCUGCGGAAGGAUCAUUACAGAGUUCAUGCCCGAAAGGGUAGACCUCCCACCCUUGUGUAUUAUUACUUUGUUGCUUUGGCGAGCUGCCUUCGGGCCUUGUAUGCUCGCCAGAGAAUACCAAAACUCUUUUUAUUAAUGUCGUCUGAGUACUAUAUAAUAGUUAAAACUUUCAACAACGGAUCUCUUGGUUCUGGCAUCGAUGAAGAACGCAGCGAAAUGCGAUAAGUAAUGUGAAUUGCAGAAUUCAGUGAAUCAUCGAAUCUUUGAACGCACAUUGCGCCCCUUGGUAUUCCGGGGGGCAUGCCUGUUCGAGCGUCAUUUCAACCCUCAAGCUUAGCUUGGUAUUGAGUCUAUGUCAGUAAUGGCAGGCUCUAAAAUCAGUGGCGGCGCCGCUGGGUCCUGAACGUAGUAAUAUCUCUCGUUACAGGUUCUCGGUGUGCUUCUGCCAAAACCCAAAUUUUUCUAUGGUUGACCUCGGAUCAGGUAGGGAUACCCGCUGAACUUAAGCAUAUCAAAA
Molecule: ribosomal RNA, 528 nt
Filed under: Botrytis cinerea
Lineage: Eukaryota; Fungi; Ascomycota; Leotiomycetes; Helotiales; Sclerotiniaceae
Description: eukaryotic LSU rRNA
Rfam family: 5.8S ribosomal RNA (bases 176-329)
Source: RNAcentral